Molecule: long non-coding RNA, 1582 nt
Organism: Macaca fascicularis (crab-eating macaque)
Lineage: Eukaryota; Metazoa; Chordata; Mammalia; Primates; Cercopithecidae
Source: Ensembl
AUUUCUGGUUGGCAAUUUUGAAUAAGCCAAUUUAAAAAUGUUCUGCAUAGAAAAACAGCCUAAUGACCAUCUCUUCAAACAAGCUGUCCCAAAAUGUAGUGGACUUUAUGAUGAGAUUUGACACACAUGGAGCUAUUCCUACAUGAAAAGUUCAGCCAGAAAAGAAAAAAAAAUUUUUUUCAAGAGAGAAAGAUGAGAGAGAGAGAGAAGGUGAGUGGCCCAGGGAGACUAAUACCCACUCAGUCCUGGCAUCUCUCCUCGUGGGGAGGCACUCAUCUUUAGGACUUCAAGGAAAUACUCAUUCCUAUGGUUUUGGAAGAGGAGCCAAUUAAUGAUUGGCAAUUUGCGGGUGUUCCGGGGAAGGAUAAGCCCGUUAGAUGUGAACUGGCGAGACCGCACAAACUCUAGGCGCCACGGAGACACACGGGGGAGCCGAGGGCAGCGAUCCCGCCAGGCAGAAGCGAAGCGGCGCCUGUCGAGGCAUGGAGCAGGCGCUGGGCAGGCACAGGGCCGGCCCACGCCCAGCCGGGAACCCUGAUGUGUACUAGCCACGAGAAAGCCCAUGCAAUGAGAGAGGACAAAGGGGGAAAAAACCCGGAUAAUUACUACUGCUGUGUUCUUUGCCUAGGCAGAGACGCUUCAGGGCAGACCCUGCAAGGGAGAAAGAAACGACACAAGACCACAGAGUUAGGCAGAACAGCACACACCGGGACACGCUACCACACUAAGCAAAAGUCGUCAGUGUGCAGGGAGGGGCAGACACAGGCAGCAGUUCAGAGAGAGGGCCGACCCGGCUGGGGGAAACAGGGCAGCCCCCGGAGAGAGGGUGCAGGCUCCCACGAGCUUCGCCGAGGGGGCAGAGGUGCCAGGGCCAAGCCCCCAAGCUUCAGGGAGAAGUGUUUGUCUCUAGAAGCAUAUUCAAAGAAAAGUAAAAGAGAAAGAAAAAAGAAAAAAAGAAAAAAGCAAAGCACAGCGCUUGGCUUUCAAACAUCAGGCUUCUGGGAGCCCCACUGACGGAGGCAGGACACCCUGCUGAGAGUCGGCCACGGGAGCUCUGGAAUGGAGCCGGGCACGGCUGGGCUUGGCCGCCGAAGCCCAUCAGAGGUUUUCCAAGUGCAAAAAGAUACAUUGUUUUGCAGGUUGGAGGCCAAGUCUGGAUCUCAGAUGGCUGCCUCAGGUGAUGAGGUCAGCGGCAGGCGUUGAGUAGAGGACCCAGGGUUUCUAUCUAGGGACUGACCCCAAUGUCUGGGGACACUGCCGCCUCAUUAGAAGUCAGUAUCCACAAGGGGUAGGGCAAGGCCUCAGCCUGGAACACUUCUGGCCUCCUUGUAAUUCGGACCACCACUAAACUGACUGGUCCCAACUACCCAGAGGCCACCUGGUGUACACUGAAUGCAACGUCCUAGCCAGUCAGUGCCCAGCCUGGUGGGGACAAGGUCCCCAGGGCAGGCUGGGCCGGAAGGCGCGGCCAUCCCCGCUUAUCCUUAUGGGCAGGCAGAGCUGGGACGGGCAAGAACAGGCUCAGGCUUCCCCAAGGUCACUCAGCAAAGCCACACUAGCACGGAGGCUCUGUCUACACUCC